UACGUAGGGUGCAAGCGUUGUCCGGAAUUAUUGGGCGUAAAGAGCUCGUAGGCGGUCUGUCACGUCGGCUGUGAAAUCCCGAGGCUCAACCUCGGGUCUGCAGUCGAUACGGGCAAACUAGAGUAUUGCAGGGGAGACUGGAAUUCCUGGUGUAGCGGUGAAAUGCGCAGAUAUCAGGAGGAACACCGGUGGCGAAGGCGGGUCUCUGGGCAACAACUGACGCUGAGGAGCGAAAGCGUGGGGAGCAAACAGG
RNAcentral lists this ribosomal RNA (253 nucleotides) under uncultured bacterium. RNAcentral's name for it is "partial 16S ribosomal RNA". It matches the Rfam family "Bacterial small subunit ribosomal RNA", at positions 524 to 776 of the family's 1533-position model. The record is from RNAcentral.